Molecule: ribosomal RNA, 253 nt
Filed under: uncultured microorganism
Description: partial 16S ribosomal RNA
Rfam family: Bacterial small subunit ribosomal RNA
Source: RNAcentral
UACGUAGGGUGCGAGCGUUGUUCGGAAUUACUGGGCGUAAAGCGCACGUAGGCGGACCGGAAAGUCAGAGGUGAAAUCCCAGGGCUCAACCUUGGAACUGCCUUUGAAACUCCUGGUCUUGAGGUCGAGAGAGGUGAGUGGAAUUCCGAGUGUAGAGGUGAAAUUCGUAGAUAUCAGGAGGAACACCGGAGGCGAAAGCGGCUAUCUGGCGCACACCUGACGCUGAGGCACGAAAGCUAGGGGAGCAAACAGG